This 18-nucleotide small nuclear RNA is filed under the name Arabidopsis thaliana (thale cress). Its description in RNAcentral is "snRNA_01409". The record is from RNAcentral. Lineage: Eukaryota; Viridiplantae; Streptophyta; Magnoliopsida; Brassicales; Brassicaceae.
AAAUAUUCAAAUGAGAAC